GGGGGGGGAAGAAAGGGAGGUUGAGAUGUUGGGUUAGUGGGAGACUUGUCAUGUUGUGCCUGUCUCUACUGUUGAAAAUCCUUGUGGUUGACAAAAGCCACCUUUGUUUCAGGCUGUGCGAUAAGAUCGACAUAUCUGAUGCUUCUGUUUAGGUUUUACUGAACCAUGGGCUGCAAUCCCUCCCUUAUUGUUGAUAUUACAGUUAACUCCAAACUGUUGGCCUUGAAAAGCUUGGAAUCCUUAACAGUUCACUAAGCAUAGAAGUUUAUCUUCAAUAUUAUUAAAACAUCUUUUGUUGCUAUGUUUUCAGUUCCUACUCCCAUCAUAAAACCGCCUUAUGAUGUUUGAAAAUUUUUAAGAGUUCUCUAAGCAAAUAAUUCAAUGGAUUGCUUUAGGCUAAAAUGCUGUGCAGUCCUUUAGAUUAGUUUAGAUUCACCUACUAAAUGUUUGCAAGGCUAUAUAAUGAUAUGGAAAUUGCUUUUGCAGGCGUCUGACACUUGCUGCUUCCAAGGAAUUGGUAUGAGAGGAUCCACAUGGUUCUGACAUUGUAUAGAUAUUUUACAUGGCACACCAUCACUCCUACCAAAGGGAACUAAGCAAGUCGUGAGGACACGAUUUUUUUUGCCAUUUGGCAGCACCUGUGGGUUUAAUUGCUUCAUGGCUUCAUGUUAGGUGACAAGAUUAGAGAAGAUGUUGGCAUUCUACGAGAGGAGAUUAAAGAAUGAAGCUGUGUGAUUAGCAUAUAAUCUAAUGCCAUGGCCGGGUGCAGAAUGUUUUAUUUUAUCAAUCAGAUGUGCCAAGAUCAGGUAGUGCAUUAUUUACCUGAUGAAAUAUUUCGAGUUUAUUUCGCUACGUUUGACUCAGGUUGUUCAAGUUUCAAGAUAUAUACUAUCUUUGCUUGGUUAAAAUUAUUGAUAUAUUUUUCUGUAAAGUGGUAACCAAAGUUUGGAUGGAUUUUGAACUAUUAUUUUAGUUGUUUA
This is a non-coding RNA of Oryza sativa Japonica Group (Japanese rice), 980 nucleotides long. Lineage: Eukaryota; Viridiplantae; Streptophyta; Magnoliopsida; Poales; Poaceae. The record is from RefSeq and is a predicted model, not a curated record.